AGUCGUUUGAGCAACUUUAAAUAGCAGCCUUAAGCUCAAAGCGUUAGAAGGUAUAACGGCCUUCUAGGUGGUU
Molecule: ribozyme, 73 nt
Filed under: unclassified sequences
Description: pistol ribozyme
Rfam family: Pistol ribozyme
Source: RNAcentral